GACGAGAAGCUUGCUUCUCUGAUGUUAGCGGCGGACGGGUGAGUAACACGUGGAUAACCUACCUAUAAGACUGGGAUAACUUCGGGAAACCGGAGCUAAUACCGGAUAAUAUUUUGAGCCGCAUGGUUCAAAAGUGAAAGACGGUCUUGCUGUCAUCUUAUAGAUGGAUCCGCGCUGCAUUAGCUAGUUGGUAAGGUAACGGCUUACCAAGGCAACGAUGCAUAGCCGACCUGAGAGGGUGAUCGGCCACACUGGAACUGAGACACGGUCCAGACUCCUACGGGAGGCAGCAGUAGGGAAUCUUCCGCAAUGGGCGAAAGCCUGACGGAGCAACGCCGCGUGAGUGAUGAAGGUCUUCGGAUCGUAAAACUCUGUUAUUAGGGAAGAACAUAUGUGUAAGUAACUGUGCACAUCUUGACGGUACCUAAUCAGAAAGCCACGGCUAACUACGUGCCAGCAGCCGCGGUAAUACGUAGGUGGCAAGCGUUAUCCGGAAUUCAUUGGGCGUAAAGCGCGCGUAGGCGGUUUUGUUGAAGUCUGAUGUGAAAGCCCACGGCUCAACCGUGGGAGGGUCAUUGGGAAACUGGAAACUUGAGUGGCAGAAGAGGCCCCAGUGGAGAUUCCAUGUGUAGCGGUGAAAUGCGCAGAGAUAUGGAGGAACACCAGUGGCGAAGGCGACUUUCUGGUCGUGUGAGACUGACGCUGAUGUGCGAAAGCGUGGGG
RNAcentral lists this ribosomal RNA (723 nucleotides) under uncultured Staphylococcus sp. RNAcentral's name for it is "bacterial SSU rRNA". It matches the Rfam family "Bacterial small subunit ribosomal RNA", at positions 69 to 766 of the family's 1533-position model. The record is from RNAcentral. Lineage: Bacteria; Bacillati; Bacillota; Bacilli; Caryophanales; Staphylococcaceae.